Lepus europaeus (European hare) is the source of this 2304-nucleotide long non-coding RNA. RefSeq lists it as uncharacterized. The transcript is spliced from 3 exons. NCBI's taxonomy places the organism in Eukaryota, Metazoa, Chordata, Mammalia, Lagomorpha, Leporidae. The record is from RefSeq and is a predicted model, not a curated record.
CCUGGCGGGUUCUAGGGGCCCCGACGAUCCCGAGUGGUUCCGCGAGGGGCGAGCCCCUGCUUUUUAGCGAGCCUCUUGGCCCAGCGGCGCAGGAGGCACUCCGUGUCCGGAACGAAUAACGGAGCUGGAUGAAGAGCUGCGUCUCGGGUUGGCGGCUUUCCGAGCGCCCACGUGGCUGAUGUCUGAGGAGAACCCUCCAGGGCGGGCCCGGCGCGCCCUCUGACCUUGGGGCGGUCAUUUCCGAGUCCAGGUCGCCGGACGCCGGGCAGGGCUCGGCCAGCCUGUCUAGUGGUAUGUUGAGUCCCAAGUGUGCGAAGACAGGCCUGUUUCCUUGUCGCACAGACAGACGCAGAAGGAAAAUGCAAUGAAGAUAUUAGGUACCCUGAGACAGCGAUGAGCGCGCCAGUGAGAGCCAGCCCGGGUCAGCUUUGCCUUGCUGGGGACUCAGCCCUCUCUGGGGUUCAGUGUUGCCAAGGUGGUGGCUGGACCGAAUGGGCUCUACGGCCACUCCAGGCCAGUGUUUCGAUCGUGUUAUAUAACCUCCUCGUAUAGCACAUCUGAAUAUGAGGCAACCUGACUUACGUAUACAUUACUGGUUAAUCUGACCAAAUAAGGAAGCUCUCACUGUGCCAAACUCAAAGAUGAAGAUGAAGAACAUGAUACAGGUCUUUCCAACACUAGAGGCCACCAAGUGCUUUGCAUUAAAGAAUUAUGCACAUUUUAAAACAACCUUAUGGAGAUGAAGUCAACAGGGAAUCUCUGGCUGCUCUCACUGGUUGGGAAACAGAAUUGGAAAUGAAGCACCACCUCCACCCACAUGUGAUCUCUUUUACUCCAGGAAGGACAGCUCAUUCCUCCCCCACCAUGAGCUGAUACAGAUUUCAGUGGUGGUGAGCAACCACUAGCAUCCGGGCAACGCCUCAAGCAUUCCACUCGAAUGUCUAUGCGGCAUCUGGAAGACAAAUUUGGCUACCCAAAAUUCUCCAAGGGAACAGUGGCCACGUGGGGUCACUCACUUGAAAGAUUUCGAAGGCAGGAGCAGCAAGAGAGCAAAGAACUGAGUGAAAGGGAGACUGUGGAUGAAAAGGCCAAUCCAUCUUUUACUCUGGACUCUGAAAAUCCACUUGAUAACCACAGUGAAGAUCUGCUCUCGACUCUGUGCCUGGGGAAAUGAUGGGGCUAAGCUGCAUGUGGGUAGCGCGCCAGAGGUCAAACUAUUGCAGAUAAAUCUAAUAUGGAACCCAGUGUUCUGAGGUGUUUCUUCUGGAGCCUCCUGAGAUCAUAUUCUUACUAUCCAAAUACCCAUUUCAUGCCUCUGGGCUCCCCAUAAGAAUGAAAAUCAAGCAAUUUCUUGACAGCGUCUGCGCCCAAGGAGUAGAACCUUUGAUAUGCAGUCAAUUUGGCUCCUUAUUAUUUCCACAUACUGGAUUGUGAUUACUGUCUCUAUGUAUCCCAAAGGCCCACUGAAUUGCUUCCCCAAACAAAAGAUGAACUCUCUGUGGAGCUAUAAAAUGUAGCUUAUAAAACUGGAAAAUUUUUGCAAUCUGCAAUUGUCACCCAAAAACUAUUUUAAAAUGAUUGAGUUUUUCCUGUUUAUGCGUUCAGAGUUUAUAUGCAAGAUCUUGAUUAUUCACAUUUAUAAUAUUUUCCUUUGAAAUGGGGUACAGCUUUUUUAAAAAAAUUAAAAAUUCCUUAGAUAAGAAAAAUAAUCUUCAUAUAUAAUAAAAUUCCCUGGACUAGAAAGAAAGGGGUUACGUCAUCCUGUAGGCUCAGCCUGGACUUUUAAUCCUGCUGCUAACUCAGUGUGGUCAGGCAAACCUGCCCUGUCCUAUGGAUGGACUAUGAGCAAUUGUUGGGUUGUUCUAACAGAUUACAGGUUAUACUUAACCCUCGAUUGAAAGUUGUAUUUUUCCAUAAAGAGGGAGUUGUUUAAGUUGGUAAAGAACUUGCAGAAGGGUUUCAUAUUCAGUGGUGCAAGAGUGAGGGAGGAACUCUGAACUCAGGCAACAGGAAGAUUGAGAUCUGCCAGAGUCAGACACAAUUCAGACACAAUUCAUAUCCUCUGAGGACAGUCAUUAUUAGCCUCUGUGUGUGUUUUUGUUUUCCCUUGCAACUAUAAAAUUAAUCUUUGAUCAUGUUCCUGGAACUCAAAGAAAUGUCAUGAGCUGAGUCAAGUGGGAAUUGUAUCCAAGAAAUGUCAACCACCUACACAGAAAUAUGUAUGUGGGUCAUGUAUACAAAGUUCUGCAGUCUUGUUGGAACCAACUGUGAAAUGCAUAAUUAAAAAGAGAUUAAAACUUGAAA